UAGGCAGAAGCCCUCUGGUUUAGGCGGCUAGCUGUUAAUUAGUAAAUUACGGGAUCGAGGCCCGUCUGUCUAG
RNAcentral lists this transfer RNA (73 nucleotides) under Varanus keithhornei. Its description in RNAcentral is "tRNA-Asn". It matches the Rfam family "tRNA". Rfam says of the family: Transfer RNA (tRNA) molecules are approximately 80 nucleotides in length. Their secondary structure includes four short double-helical elements and three loops (D, anti-codon, and T loops). Further hydrogen bonds mediate the characteristic L-shaped molecular structure. tRNAs have two regions of fundamental functional importance: the anti-codon, which is responsible for specific mRNA codon recognition, and the 3' end, to which the tRNAs corresponding amino acid is attached (by aminoacyl-tRNA synthetases). tRNAs cope with the degeneracy of the genetic code in two manners: having more than one tRNA (with a specific anti-codon) for a particular amino acid; and 'wobble' base-pairing, i.e. permitting non-standard base-pairing at the 3rd anti-codon position. Lineage: Eukaryota; Metazoa; Chordata; Lepidosauria; Squamata; Varanidae. The record is from RNAcentral.